ACGCUGGCGGCUGCUUAACACAUGCAGUCGAACGCAACCUUCGGGUUGAGUGGCGGACGGGUGAGUAACGCGUGAGAAUCUGCCUUGGGGUCGGGGACAACCACUGGAAACGGUGGCUAAUACCGGAUAAGCCUUUGGGUAAAAGAUUAUUGCCCCAAGAGGAGCUCGCGUCUGAUUAGCUAGUUGGUGAGGUAAAAGCUCACCAAGGCAGCGAUCAGUAGCUGGUCUGAGAGGACGAUCAGCCACACUGGGACUGAGACACGGCCCAGACUCCUACGGGAGGCAGCAGUGGGGAAUUUUCCGCAAUGGGCGAAAGCCUGACGGAGCAAGACCGCGUGAGGGAGGAAGGCUCUUGGGUUGUAAACCUCUUUUCUCAGGGAAGAAGCUCUGACGGUACCUGAGGAAUCAGCCUCGGCUAACUCCGUGCCAGCAGCCGCGGUAAUACGGAGGAGGCAAGCGUUAUCCGGAAUUAUUGGGCGUAAAGCGUCCGCAGGUGGCGAUUCAAGUCUGCUGUCAAAGCACGGGGCUUAACUCCGUUAAGGCAGUGGAAACUGAAUAGCUAGAGUGCCGUAGGGGUAGAGGGAAUUCCCGGUGUAGCGGUGAAAUGCGUAGAGAUCGGGAAGAACAUCGGUGGCGAAAGCGCUCUACUGGACGGCAACUGACACUCAGGGACGAAAGCUAGGGGAGCGAUGGGAUUAGAUACCCCAGUAGUCCUAGCUGUAACGAUGGAUACUAGGUGUAGCUUGUANUCACCCGAGCUGUGCCGAAGCUAACGCGUUAAGUAUCCCGCCUGGGGAGUACGCACGCAAGUGUAAAACUCAAGGAAUUGACGGGGGCCCGCACAAGCGGUGGAGUAUGUGGUUUAUUCGAUGCAACGCGAAGAAC
Molecule: ribosomal RNA, 885 nt
Filed under: uncultured organism
Description: bacterial SSU rRNA
Rfam family: Bacterial small subunit ribosomal RNA
Source: RNAcentral